Molecule: small RNA, 740 nt
Filed under: Pongo abelii (Sumatran orangutan)
Lineage: Eukaryota; Metazoa; Chordata; Mammalia; Primates; Hominidae
Description: processed transcript
Source: RNAcentral
AGACGCCGCUCCAGCGGGAGGCAGGAUGGUUGCUACCUGGGGCGGCCGCCAGCUCCUCCCGCAGGGCUCCGGGCCGCCCCUCGCCCCAGGGUCGCCGGCUCCUAGUGCGGCCCAGGCUUCCCGGCCGGCCCCUCCCAGACCUAGGAAGACGUCCCCCGGGCCCCCUCAGCCCUCCACCUCCCCUCUCUCCCUUUCUCCCGGCUCCUGGCAGGCUGCAGCCGUCUCCUCCUGGUGCUCCCUCCUUCCUUGAGCUCUGUCCACCGCUGCCCACUGGGGGCUACAGCUUCUCGGCUACCCUGGAAGCUGGAGGCCGGGACCAGCUCUUCAGGUGACAGGCCUCUGUGUCUCCACAGUGGGCAGAGGGGAGCCUGCCUGGCUGAUGAGCAAGGCUCGACUUUGUCACCAAGGCAGAGAAGGGGCCCGGGUAAAUGACCCCGGCGGCCCCCACCCCUGCCUGGCGUGAGAGUGGGUAGGGGCUUCGGACUUGAGGGGACUGGAGCGGGAAUAAGGGUCUUCUCCGGCUCAGCCUUUGACUGAAGCUGGUCUGGAGACAGGGGCGUUAGAGAAGUGACUCAUAGAUGACCUAAAGAAGCGGGGCCACUCAAGGACCCAGGACAGAGGGAAGAGGGCCAACCCAGCUGGACCGCAGGCAAACCCCAUGGCCUUUGAGAGAAGAGAGAAGAGGACCCGGUGAAGUAGACUCGGAGGGCCUCAGCCCAGCAGGAGUGCGGGGUGGGCGU